RNAcentral lists this ribosomal RNA (504 nucleotides) under uncultured bacterium. Its description in RNAcentral is "bacterial SSU rRNA". It matches the Rfam family "Bacterial small subunit ribosomal RNA", at positions 28 to 517 of the family's 1533-position model. The record is from RNAcentral.
GACGAACGCUGGCGGCGUGGAUUAGGCAUGCAAGUCGGACGGUAGGGCUUUAUCGUAAGAUAGAGUUUGAGAGUGGCGAACGGGUGAGUAACACGUAGGAAUCUACCCUUAAGACGGGGACAACCCAGGGAAACUUGGGCUAAUACCGGAUGAGAGUGCGAGAGAUUGCAUUUAAAAGGAUGGCGAAAGUUGUCGCUUAGGGAUGAGCCUGCGGUCUAUUAGCUAGUUGGUGAGGUAACGGCUCACCAAGGCGACGAUGGGUAGCCGGCCUGAGAGGGUGGUCGCCCACACUGGGAUUGAGAUACGGCCCAGACUCCUACGGGAGGCAGCAGUCGAGAAUAGUCUACAAUGGUCGGAAGACUGAUAGUGCGACGCCGCGUGAACGAUGAAUCCCUUCGGGGUGUAAAGUUCUUUUAUAUGUGAGCAGUGCUUCUUAUAUUAACAGUAUGGGGAGAGAGAUAUUAGCAUAUGAAUAAGCAACGGCUAACUCCGUGCCAGCAACCG